RNAcentral lists this ribosomal RNA (408 nucleotides) under uncultured bacterium. RNAcentral's name for it is "partial 16S ribosomal RNA". It matches the Rfam family "Bacterial small subunit ribosomal RNA", at positions 28 to 526 of the family's 1533-position model. The record is from RNAcentral.
GACGAACGCUGGCGGCGUGCUUAACACAUGCAAGUCGAACGAAGUGGCGAACGGGUGAGUAACGCGUAAUCAACCUGCCCUUCAGAGGGGGACAACAGUUGGAAACGAAUCCUAAUCCCGAAUACUGAAGGCGUGGAUUGCGUCGGAUUAGCUAGUUGGGGGGGUAAAGGCCCACCAAGGCGAGGAUCAGUAGCCGGUCUGGGAGGAUGAACGGCCACAUGGGGACUGAGACACGGCCCAGACGCCUACGGGAGGGAGCAGUGGGGAAUCUUCCGCAAUGGACGAAAGUCUGACGGAGCAACGCCGCGUGAGUGAUGACGGCCUUCGGGUUGGAAAGCUCUGUUAAUCGGGACGCGGUACCGGAAUAGAAAGCCACGGCUAACUACGUGCCAGCAGCCGCGGUAAUUC